Long non-coding RNA from Clarias gariepinus (North African catfish), 621 nucleotides. RefSeq lists it as uncharacterized. The record is from RefSeq and is a predicted model, not a curated record. Lineage: Eukaryota; Metazoa; Chordata; Actinopteri; Siluriformes; Clariidae. The transcript is spliced from 3 exons.
ACAAAACAAGUCGGAAACUGGUUCCUGGACAUGAUGCACAAGCUGAAGGGGUCAAAGAAGGCACACCUGGUUGGCUGCUCAUCUUAGCAUUAUGCUUGACACUUGCAGCUGUUAUCUGCGUGUUUGUUGGAAUCGGCACCAAAGACAUGUGGUACGGGCCCAGUAGGCAAUGCCUCAACGGCAACUCCACAGGGUCAAAUAAACAUUCAGAAUAUAAUAAAGCAGCGACUCUUUCACUGUCCGAGAAGGAGCGGAUGGCACUCAUGAGCGCACAAAAGAAAGAGACGCAGGAAACAGACUGUUCCAUCAGCCUUGAAGAACCUCCAGAAAAGGAAUAUUUGAUGUAGUACUAGUUGAAAUGAAAAGGAAGUGAAGCCCUGAGCUCUGAUCAUUAUGCAAACAUGAGCUAAAAUCCAAAGAGUUAAUUUAGUUUAAAUUUUUUUGUUUGUUUGUUUGUUUGUUUGUUUGUUUGUUUGUAUGUUUUUGGUUUCAAUGUAAUACUAUAUUGUAGUCAGCCUGAUUUUUAGUGUUAAUGUGCUUUAUGGAUAAAUGCUUAUCACGUUACAGUCAAACCACACUUUAAUGAAAUGCACUUCUGACAGUAAAUCCUUUCCGUUUUCA